RNAcentral lists this ribosomal RNA (253 nucleotides) under uncultured bacterium. RNAcentral describes it as "partial 16S ribosomal RNA". It matches the Rfam family "Bacterial small subunit ribosomal RNA", at positions 524 to 776 of the family's 1533-position model. The record is from RNAcentral.
UACGUAGGGUGCGAGCGUUGUCCGGAAUUAUUGGGCGUAAAGGGCUCGUAGGCGGUUUGUCGCGUCGGGAGUGAAAACACUGGGCUUAACCCAGUGCUUGCUUUCGAUACGGGCAGACUAGAGGUAUGCAGGGGAGAACGGAAUUCCUGGUGUAGCGGUGAAAUGCGCAGAUAUCAGGAGGAACACCGGUGGCGAAGGCGGUUCUCUGGGCAUGAUCUGACGCUGAGGAGCGAAAGCGUGGGGAGCGAACAGG